This is a long non-coding RNA of Brienomyrus brachyistius, 305 nucleotides long. RefSeq lists it as uncharacterized. The transcript has 3 exons. Lineage: Eukaryota; Metazoa; Chordata; Actinopteri; Osteoglossiformes; Mormyridae. The record is from RefSeq and is a predicted model, not a curated record.
GGCAAAGCAUGGUAAAGACUUCAAUGACAGACAUAGGGAAACGGACUCAGACACGGACUAAAAUACACAGGACUCAAGGGCAAAACAGGAAACAGCUGAUAACAAUCAGAAAUUCACACGAGGAGGGGAGAGGAGAAUGAAAGUGGAAGAGCCUGAUGCUGACGAUAGCGACGGUACAGACGGCACGCUCCCUCCCGCCAAUGGCACGUUCAUCCGUCAGCGUUACAGACGGCACCGACGAAGAAUCGUGAUCCAGAGGAGCUCCAGUACCUGCAGAUGCAUCUUGGGAAAAUUUAGAUUCUGAC